RNAcentral lists this ribosomal RNA (253 nucleotides) under uncultured bacterium. Its description in RNAcentral is "partial 16S ribosomal RNA". It matches the Rfam family "Bacterial small subunit ribosomal RNA", at positions 524 to 776 of the family's 1533-position model. The record is from RNAcentral.
UACAGAGGUCUCAAGCGUUGUUCGGAUUCAUUGGGCGUAAAGGGUGCGUAGGCGGUCUGUCGCGUCGGAUGUGAAAACCCAGGGCUCAACCCUGGGCCUGCAUUCGAUACGGGCAGACUAGAGUUCGGUAGGGGAGACUGGAAUUCCUGGUGUAGCGGUGAAAUGCGCAGAUAUCAGGAGGAACACCGGUGGCGAAGGCGGGUCUCUGGGCCGAAACUGACGCUGAGGAGCGAAAGCGUGGGGAGCAAACAGG